UCUACGGGUGGCAGCAGUGAGGAAUAUUGGUCAAUGGGCGCGAGCCUGAACCAGCCAAGUAGCGUGAAGGAUGACUGCCCUACGGGUUGUAAACUUCUUUUAUAAAGGAAUAAAGUGAGGCCCGUGUGCCUUUUUGUAUGUACUUUAUGAAUAAGGAUCGGCUAACUCCGUGCCAGCAGCCGCGGUAAUACGGAGGAUCCGAGCUUUAUCCGGAUUUAUUGGGUUUAAAGGGAGCGUAGAUGGGUUGUUAAGUCAGUUGUGAAAGUUUGCGGCUCAACCGUAAAAUUGCAAUUGAUACUGGCAGUCGUGAGUACAGUUGAGGGAGGCGGAAUUCGUGGUGUAGCGGUGAAAGGCUUAGAUAUCACGAAGAACCCCGAUUGCGAAGGCAGCUUACUAAACUGUGACUGACAUUGAUGCUCGAAAGUGUGGGUAUCAAACAGGAUUAGAUACCCUUGUAGUC
This 460-nucleotide ribosomal RNA is filed under the name uncultured bacterium. Its description in RNAcentral is "partial 16S ribosomal RNA". It matches the Rfam family "Bacterial small subunit ribosomal RNA", at positions 338 to 795 of the family's 1533-position model. The record is from RNAcentral.